RNAcentral lists this ribosomal RNA (95 nucleotides) under Chelonoidis abingdonii (Abingdon island giant tortoise). Lineage: Eukaryota; Metazoa; Chordata; Testudines; Testudinidae. The record is from RNAcentral.
ACUGGCUCCAAAUAUCUAUAACUCCAUAUUGAAGGAGUUCAGGCCUGGUUUGUACACGCAUGGGGAACCUCCAAGGAAAACCAGUGGUGCUAGAA